Molecule: long non-coding RNA, 4289 nt
Filed under: Ornithorhynchus anatinus (platypus)
Lineage: Eukaryota; Metazoa; Chordata; Mammalia; Monotremata; Ornithorhynchidae
Description: lncRNA (ENSOANG00000037218.1)
Source: RNAcentral
AAAUAUAAAAUAUGAAUAUAUAAAAAUAAAAUUAUAAUACUAGCUUUUGUUGUCUCCAGAGAUCCAGGGGAAACCUUCACUCUGAUUUCUCCACAUUAAGAUGCAGAAUCCACAAACAAAGGAAAUGAAUUUCCCUGUCUCCGAAAACAAAAACAAUUAUGAGACUGCAGCUCCCCCCAGGAGAACACCAGUCUCUGCAAACAAAUGAGACCCUCAGGGAAGACCCUAAAGCCGUGAGAAGAGACCUAAACUCUUCCUUUCAAAAAUUUAUUGUAACCAUUGUUGCGGACACUGUUGCGGAUCGCCUCAAGAUGGCGAUGGUGAAGCCAGCCUCAAGCUUACGUCAUUCAUUCAUUCGUUCGUUCAUUCAUUCAUUCGUAUUUAUUGAGCGCUUACUAUGUGCAGAGCACUGUACUAAGCGCUUGGAAUGUACAAAUCGGUAACAGAUAGAGACAGUCCCUGCUCUUUGACGGGCUUACAGUCUAAUCGGGGGAGACAGCAUUAAUAAAAAUAGAGUAGUAAAUCUACACAAAUAUAGACAAGAGCUGUGGGGAGGGGAAAAGGGGCAGAGGUAAAGGGCUCAGUCUGGGAAGGCCUCCUGGAGGAGGGGAGCUCUCAGUAGGGCUUUGAAGAGGGGAAGAGAGGGAGUUUGCCAGAGGUGAGGUGGGAGGUCAUUCCUGGUUGGUGGCAGCACGGGCCAGGGGUCGACGGUAGGACAGGCACCAAUGGGGGACGGUGAGGACGUAAGCGGCAAAGAAAUGGAGUGUAUGGGGACCACAAACACACGUUAACUGUAAAAUGCCUGCGCCAUUGCUGUAAAAUGCCUGUGCCAUUACCUGUGCCAUGCGGACCGUAAAAUGGCCACCCCAUGUGAAUCUUCUCUACCAUGCACCACUUCAAACCUCACACAUCACUCUCGCGCGGGCUGGUCGGGUGUCAUGGGAUUAUGAAAGUGUUUACUGAUUGAUUACUGUUACUAUGUGUGCCUAGCCCCAGUUGGGUGCCCUGCACCAGCUGUGGGGGGUACCACCCUUCCAAUUAAACUGCCAGAGCGCCCUGGGAUCGGGGCGCUGUGGUCACUGGUACCCCCUCGGGGUGAACAGGCUGCUCACAACUUUCCUACUGUCCUGAUCUUUGACCUGUUCUCUCGGAGUCUUUCGUCUCUUCUUUGACUAAAUGAACCCUUCCUAAUUUGUCUAAUUUUUGUCGAUAACACCAUGUUUUCCUGAUUUGGUUCAUUCAUUCAAUUCAUUCAUUCAAUCGAAUUUAUUGAGCAUUUAUUGUGUGCAGAGCACUGUACUAAGCACUUGGGAAGUACAAUUCAGCAAGAAAUAGAGAUAAUCCCUGCCCACAACUGGUUCACAGUUAAGAAGGGGGGAGACAGACAUCAAAACAAGUUAACAGGCAUCAUAUAUGCAAGUGUUUUGGGGCGGGGGGUAGAGCAGACAGAGCAAGUUGGGGCAAUGGGGAGGGGACGGGGAGCAGAGGAAAAGGAGGCUUUAGUGUGGGAAGGCCUCCUGGAGGAGGUGAGCUUUCAGUAGGGCUUUGAAGGGGGGAGGUGUGCUAGUUUUGCGGAUUUGAGGAGGGAUCCAGGCCAGAGGUAGGACGUGGGCCAGGGGUCGAUGGCAGAACAAGAGAGAACGUGGCACAGUGAAGGUUAGCACCAGAGGAGUGGAGUGUGGGCUGGGAUGUAGGAGGAGAGAAGAGAGGAGAGGUAGGAUCAGGCAAGGUGAUUGAGAGAUUUGAAGCCAAGAGUGAGGAGUUAUAUGGAGGUUGAUAGGCAACUGCUGGAGAUUUUAAGGAGGGGGAUGACAUGCCCAAAGUGUUUCUGUAGGAAGAUAUUCCAGGCAGCAGAGUGAAGUAUAGACUGAAGCAGGGAGAGACAGGAGGUUGGGAGAUAAGGAAGGAUGCUAAUGCAGUAAUCCAGUCGGAAUAUGAUGAAUGAUUGUACUAAUGUGGUAACAUGGUUAUUGCAGCAGUCGCAAUUUGUCUAAUUAUUUUUCUUAACUUCACUCUCCUCUGUAUCUGUCUGCCCUCACCUAGACUGCGAGCCCUUGGUGGGGCUGAGGAUCAUGCCUUAUUUGAUUGUAUUUCAUCUACCCCAACACUUAGCUCAGUUCAAGAAUCCCUUUUUGUAAUGGCACUUGUUAAGCACUUACUAACUGCUAGUCCAUGGUACAUGGGAUACUCUUAGUAGGAAGGAAAACAGGUAUUGAAUUCUCAUUCUGCAGUUAAGAAAACUGAAACACAGAUAAGUGAAAUAACAUGCCCAAGGUUAUAUUGCAAACAAUUGGCAAAGCCAGGAUUAGAUCCCAGGCCCGCUCUCUUUCCACUAGGCCAUCUGCUUCAAUGACAUGAAUGGUGAUAUUCCAACCAAUAUCCCGAAAGAUUACACCUCUUCCUAGAAACCAGGCUUAUAAGGAAAUCUCUCAGAUCGUUUAGGCAGUAAAACAUUUGCAUAGGAAUGAUCCAAUUUUGAGGAAUGAGAGGAUGUUCAGAGGGUUCUCCACUAUAUCUAGCUUCCCAGGGCCAGUGUCUGUGGAUGGCAGGAAGUGCCUUGAUGGCCGCAUCUUCUUCCCUGAUUUAAAACUCCCUCCCUUCCCUCCCAAGCUUCACCAGCCUCCAGCUGUCCCCAUCUUCAAAGCCCUCCUGAAAUGCUACCUCCUCCCAGAAGCCUUACCCCGCUGAAUUCCUAACCCUCCAAGUCACAUCAUCCCCACAAUUAUGCUAGUGCACACACAUUUUUAACAUUCAAUCAUUUCUUUGGUUAUUUCAUUCUCAUACAUCUACCAAUUACAUCCCUGUUCUUUCCCCAGCUCCUACUGGUCAUAAAUAAUUUGUCUGUGUGUCUCCAAUAGAUUGUAAGUACUUUGAAGACAGAGACCAGGUUAUUUGCUCCUACAGUUGCCUCCCGAGUAUUCAGAUCUAUGUUCUGCCCACAGUAACUGCUUCAUAAAGACCAUCAAAUGCUUGAUAACUUGGAAUGAUCGUCUGCAGACAAAUGCAGAUGAAAGCAGAAACCACUGAGCUGGAAACUGUUGCCUCAGGCCCCCUGUGCUUCAGCAGUGCCCCCCACAUCAAAGGCAAUAGUGGAGUAAAAUCCCUCUCUGUGCCCUAGAAAGGUGGUAGCAGACAGUCAGCUACCCCUUCCCCAGUUCCCUAUCUGAGGUCGCUGAGAGACCUCUACCAGGUAACUGCUCCCCAAAGGGCCUUUUUCAAGGGCACUAGAGGAUCUGAAUCAGAGAAGAAGGGAAGGCUGGGAGGCAGGGGAUGGGCGUCAAAGUAUGGACAGAAUUGUCAGGUGUGUGAGCCAGCCCUUUGCUCUCUGCACAUUCUGAAUACCACCCUCUCUAUUCUCUGCCUUCCAUGCACUGGCUGUUAACCAUUUUGGGCCCUAUUCACUCUCCAAGGGAUAGGAGAAAUAGUUACUCCUUGCUUGCAAUCCUUGCAAAUUGGUCAGAGCUCUAACCACCACUCGCACUUUCAGAUCUGGCAUCCAGAGAUGGGGAGAGCUGAAAAAUCCAUAAGGAGACAGUUCAGGGCAGGACUUCAGCAGAAGGACGCUUAAGAGGGCACUGGGCCAAUUCACAUUCAGCCAGUGGCUUUUGACUUUCCAGCUCAAGCAGAUGUUUACUAUCACCUAAUAGUCCAAGGGUAGUUUACCCUCUAGAUGCUACCUUGGCCAUUGAUUCAUCAUCAUACUCAUCCUCAUCACCAUUAUCAUCAUCAUCGUUAUCCUCAUCAGCAGUAUUUAUCGAGUGCCUUCUAGCUGCAGAGGGUUGUUCUGAGUGACACCUGUGGGCAGAACAGUGUACCGAAUGCUUUCUUUGUGCAGAACACUGUGCUGAGGGUCUGCUGAGUGCAGAGCACUGUUAUUAAUAAUAAUAUUUGUUGUAUACUCUCUGCGCAUUGUACUAAGCACCUGGUCAGUUCAAAAGAGAGAGAUGACACACUCCCUGUUCCUAAAGCACUAACAAUCUAAAUCUGAGAAUCUUCUGAGUGCAUGCCCCUGUGGUGGAGCCAACUGGGUGUAGAGCACACAGAGUACCUGAUACUUGGGAGCCUGUGAUAAAAGUAGAAGACACAGUGCCUACCUUUGAGGAGCCUACAACCUUAUUUAUCUAAGGACAAAGUGUUCAGAGGCCCAGAUGGUUCUAGCAUCGAUCUCAUGGACCCUACACUUGCGUCUUUGUCCACUGACUCUGUCUCUUCUGGAACUGCCUCCAAUUAAUCUUUCUCUUCUGCCUUGGCCUGGUAAAUCAGAGGUGAGCUGCUGAAAUGAAGGUGGC